RNAcentral lists this long non-coding RNA (555 nucleotides) under Musa acuminata (dwarf banana). RNAcentral describes it as "long non-coding RNA (MACU_LNC011722)". Lineage: Eukaryota; Viridiplantae; Streptophyta; Magnoliopsida; Zingiberales; Musaceae. The record is from RNAcentral.
UCAAAUCCUCAUAUUUGUGAUUCAAAUGUUUCUGAGGCUAGUGUUAAAUGCUUUUGUUGUAUAAGUACACUUUGUGCCUAAUUAAAUGUCGAUGGUAAAUAUGAACUUACGUGUUUUGUGGAAGUUUUAAAAGACUUCUUAUGUUUAGGAUUUUGGAAUGAUAAGUUUAAUUUGUAUAAUGAUACGACCUUGUGAUCAAUGUUAGUUUUGUGAUUGUAUAAAUUCCCACACUAAUGGAUUUUAUGAUGUGGUUUCGUUUACAUGAGUUGGCUUUGGAUUUUAUGAAUCUUUGAGUGUUGUGUCGUAUGAUUAUAACUACCAAGUCUUAUGAAUUGUGGAUUAUGGGUGUGAAUUAUGACUUGAAUGAUUUUUAGUGUCAUCAAAUUUAGGAUUUCGUCUUAGAUUGUUGACUGAAUGAUUUAGUAAAUUAUGACUUGAAUGAUUUUUAGUGUCCUCAAAUUUAGUUUGGAUUUCGUAUUAUAUUGUUGACUGAAUUUUAAUAUUAUGGAUUUUAAGACAGGGUCACACCUCCUGAAUGUGAUAAAUCGGGGGGCG